AACUUAAAGGAAGUUGACGGGGGCCCGCACAAGCGGAGGAGCAUGUGGUUUAAUUCGAUGAUACGCGAGGAACCUUACCUGGGCUCGAACGUAAGAUGACUGUAGGUGAAAGCUUACAUCUCUUCGGAGCAUUUUACGAGGUGCUGCAUGGUUGUCGUCAGCUCGUGCCGUGAGGUGUCGGGUUAAGUCCCGUAACGAGCGCAACCCUUGCCUUAGUUACCAGCACGUUAUGGUGGGCACUCUAAGGAGACUGCCGGUGACAAACCGGAGGAAGGUGGGGAUGACGUCAAGUCAUCAUGGCCCUUACGGCCUGGGCUACACACGUGCUACAAUGGUCGGUACAAAGGGUUGCCAAGCCGCGAGGUGGAGCUAAUCCCAUAAAACCGAUCGUAGUCCGGAUCGCAGUCUGCAACUCGACUGCGUGAAGUCGGAAUCGCUAGUAAUCGUGAAUCAGAAUGUCACGGUGAAUACGUUCCCGGGCCUU
This 484-nucleotide ribosomal RNA is filed under the name uncultured Pseudomonas sp. RNAcentral's name for it is "bacterial SSU rRNA". It matches the Rfam family "Bacterial small subunit ribosomal RNA", at positions 898 to 1382 of the family's 1533-position model. The record is from RNAcentral. Lineage: Bacteria; Pseudomonadati; Pseudomonadota; Gammaproteobacteria; Pseudomonadales; Pseudomonadaceae.